RNAcentral lists this ribosomal RNA (139 nucleotides) under uncultured bacterium. RNAcentral describes it as "partial 16S rRNA". It matches the Rfam family "Bacterial small subunit ribosomal RNA", at positions 355 to 511 of the family's 1533-position model. The record is from RNAcentral.
UGGGGAAUUUUCCGCAAUGGGCGAAAGCCCGACGGAGCAAUGCCGCGUGGAGGUGGAAGGCCUACGGGUCGUCAACUUCUUUUCUCGGAGAGAACAAUGACGGUAUCUGAGGAAUAAGCAUCGGCUAACUCUGNGCCAG